CGGGGGAGGCCGGUUCCUGGGCUGUGUCCCCGGCGCCCCGUGCUGCCGACCCUGCGCUGUUGGAUUCGCACUCCGGCUACGCAACUGCCU
This 90-nucleotide microRNA precursor is filed under the name Canis lupus familiaris (dog). Its description in RNAcentral is "mir-8799 microRNA precursor family". It matches the Rfam family "mir-8799 microRNA precursor family". Lineage: Eukaryota; Metazoa; Chordata; Mammalia; Carnivora; Canidae. The record is from Rfam by way of RNAcentral.